UGAGAAUUUCAUCUCCCUCAUCUUGUUGAGUAGAACCCAUCUAUCUUCGUUCCAAACCGUGUCGACUCGAUUGCAGAAAUCUCGAGUAAUCAGCAUCUCAUCUUGAUCACACCCAGAAUUCUCCCCUGCUGUUUCAAUGGCUUCAACCACCACCGCAAUGCUGUACAACAAAUUGUGAAUAUGGAAUUCGAUGCAGUCGGUGUUCUGGUCUCUCAAUGGCUGCUCCAAAACCUUCCACCUUGCGUGCUUCUCUUCGAAACGGAGAUUUUGUUUCAUCUCCUCCGCCACUGAAUCAUAAGCAAAGCCCAAAACAUCGAGCAACAAACAGCACUGCCUCUGGUUUAUACGAACGCUAUCUUUGAAUAGCAUGAGUGCCUUCACACUUCCCAAGGCCUCUCCAAGCUGCCGGAAUUGCUCCAUUUCGGAACCCAACAAUAUAUUGGCGAUUAUAACUUUCGAGGGGAAAUCAAUCGUCCGUGUGGAUCAAUCUCAGAUGAAGGGAGUGUGGGAAUGGAGCGAUCAACAUAAGGGAAAUGUCCCAGUGGAGCUCGAAAUCCCUUGUACAAAGUGAGAGGGAGGGGAAAGAUUGUUGGACCAGAAUAUGAUUUGUUGGAAGGGUGUGGAUGAAUGGAUGAGAGAAAAGGAACAGAAAUGGGUUAUAUUAUUGAGGGAGGGAAGAGAAGGAAGGUUAAGAUUGAUGUUGGAAAAUUGGUUUAAGAAUUGGUAAAGGUUGAAGAACGGUGGAGGAUGGCCUGUGCAUGGGGGGGAGUUCCUGCCGCGAAUAUCGAUGGCCGUACUUUGGAUUUUGGCCUCUUAUCUUAGCUCUCUUUUCUUUCUUCUCUUUUUUUCUUUCUUCCCUCUUUAAAUCAUUUUCCGUAACUUCCCAAAAAUCAUCAAAAUUACAUUCCUUCACCCACGCGCGCACACAUAUAUAUAUAUAAACAUUCAACCUUUCAA
Molecule: long non-coding RNA, 957 nt
Organism: Cucurbita maxima (winter squash)
Lineage: Eukaryota; Viridiplantae; Streptophyta; Magnoliopsida; Cucurbitales; Cucurbitaceae
Exons: 3
Source: RefSeq, a predicted model, not a curated record